Octodon degus (degu) is the source of this 1893-nucleotide RNA transcript. It is a transcript of the gene named uracil phosphoribosyltransferase homolog, with no coding region annotated. The record is from RefSeq and is a predicted model, not a curated record. Lineage: Eukaryota; Metazoa; Chordata; Mammalia; Rodentia; Octodontidae. The transcript has 2 exons.
CGCGGCGCGGGCAGCAGCCUUCUGUCUGCCGGGCCCGUGUGCGUGCUAGUUCUGCCUUGCACUGAGACUGCGAGCCAAAGGUGCAGUAGCACGGGGCAGCCUGGAACCUGGUGUAUGGCCACGGAGAUACAGCAUCCAGACUCCGUGCCCUGUCACACCCGGGAAGUAAACCCUGCCUCAACGCCAAGUCCCGAGCUGCUGCGGCCUGGUGACCUGAUCCCCUGAUCCCGGGGCUCCCGUGAUCCCUGGACACGCCCAGUGUAGCGCGCCUGCUGAGUGUGACCCUAAGGCCUGUGGCACCACGAGCCUUAACUCUGAGAGCGCCAGCGACAUUUGUAACAGUAGCAACUAUGACGCACUGCGAACUCUCCCGACAGAUAGGGUCCCAGCUGAAACUUCUGCCUAUGAACGAUCAGAUCCGAGAGUUGCAGACCAUCAUCCGGGACAAGACAGCCAGUAGAGGGGACUUUAUGUUUUCUGCGGAUCGUUUGAUCAGACUUGUUGUGGAAGAGGGACUGAAUCAGCUGCCGUAUAAAGAGUGUAUGGUGACAACUCCAACAGGGUACAAGUAUGAAGGAGUACAAUUUGAGAAGGGAAAUUGUGGGGUCAGCAUAAUGAGAAGCGGCGAGGCAAUGGAGCAAGGCUUACGAGACUGCUGUCGAUCCAUACGAAUUGGAAAGAUCCUGAUUCAGAGCGAUGAGGAGACCCAAAGAGCCAAAGUCUGUUAUGCCAAGUUCCCGCCAGACAUUUAUCGGAGGAAAGUUCUUCUGAUGUAUCCAAUUCUCAGCACUGGAAAUACUGUCAUUGAAGCUGUAAAGGUCCUUACAGAACACGGAGUUCAACCCAGUGUUAUAAUCCUGCUCAGUCUCUUCUCCACGCCUCAUGGUGCCAAAUCAAUCAUUCAGGAAUUCCCAGAGAUCACAAUUUUAACUACUGAAGUUCAUCCCGUUGCACCUACACACUUUGGACAGAAAUACUUUGGAACCGACUAAGUUAUUGAAGGAAAGGGAAAUAUCUUCUGUACUAUUACAGUUACAUUUUGAUUUUUCUAUUUGUUUUACUAAGUUGAGGAACAAUGGAAGAGAAGAUCAUAAAGAUGCUUUUUAACCUUGAAACUAGGUACAGUAAAAGGGAAAUAUUUAAAAUGUAUUAAUUUUAGUUAUUUCUUGAUGGUUGGCAGCAAAUUCAUCAAUGAAGCACACAUACAACCCUUAGAAAAGGUGGAAAUGUUAAUGUUAAUACAAGUUGGUGAACCCUGAGUGCAUUGAAGUUGCUCCCUAAUUUGUGAUCCUUAGUUUGGAGGUUGCUUGCAACUACAAAGAAAAUCUAAAUAAGUUGGUUCUUUGGCCCACUACAGUUCCCAUUUUGUGUAGUGUGGUUUUAGCUCUGGUAAGUAUUCAUGUAUGUGACUAUUGCCACUUUCCUCUACUCUUUACCUCCUGGAUUUGUACAUACUGGUAACUGGGAAAGAAGCAUUGUGCCUUCGGGAAUUUUGUAUUUUCCUUAACAUACCCAAUUCACAGACCCAGGAUGUAUGGUGAAAUUCUUAGUCAGGUCAUCCUAUUUCUCAUGACUAUUCAUCCAAACUGUACAUUAUUGGUAGGUACUUUGCCAAGCUACAAUAUGUUGAAGAAAAUGACUGGGCAUUUUUAGUAACUGGAACUGUAACAGUUGAUACAGACUAAACCAGGGAUACCUGAAUGCUGACAAAAGAGAGCUGGGUACUGUUAAUGUUGUCAAUCCUUUAGAAAACAAUUUGUGGUGAUUUUUGGAGGGGUGGGGAAAGAAAUUACUUCUUACUAGAUUUCAUGGCCAACAAAUAAAAUAAAAUACAUAAUUUUAAUUUGGGUGUUCCUACAAGAAGUCUUUGAUUUGAAAAUUAAUUAUUUUGCA